RNAcentral lists this long non-coding RNA (903 nucleotides) under Nicotiana tabacum (common tobacco). RNAcentral's name for it is "long non-coding RNA (NTAB_LNC017138)". The record is from RNAcentral. Lineage: Eukaryota; Viridiplantae; Streptophyta; Magnoliopsida; Solanales; Solanaceae.
CCGAGGGUCUAUUGGAAACAGCCUCUCUGCCCUAUUGGGGUAGGGAUAAGGUCUGCGUACACACUACCCUCCCCAGACCCCACUUAGUGGGACUUUACUGGGUUGUUGUUGUUGUUGUUGUUGUUGUUGUGUAUAAAGAGACAUACUUAUACUGACGCUUCCUACUUUUGUAAAAAACUAGGCCGGAGGACUUGACAAACUUACGCUAGAUAGUUUGUAUGAUGAUGCAAUGAGACAAACCAGCCAAAAUGCGAGCUAUAAUCCGUGGGAACCUGCACCAGUAGCUUCUCAAAUGAUGCCAAACGUUGGAUACGACCCGUUCUACGUAUCAAACAUGGUGGCAGCCCCAACUAAUGUGCAAAUGGCAGCCAUGGCGAACCAGCAACAGGCUUUCAUGUUACAGCAACAACAACAACAUAUGAUGAUGAUGACUCCCCAACCACAACCGACUGCGAAUCCUUUCGCCAACCCUUAUGGAGCAAAUGCCAAUCCAUACGGCCCCGGUAUGCCUGUACAAGCAUAUAAUCCCUAUCAUACUGGCCUCAUUUGAGCAAUUUAUGGAGAGACCAUGUUGCUGUAUUCAGCUAUUGAUUUUGAUACUCAGGAAGCUAUUGAAGAAUAGAUUUGUAUCACUGCAGGAGGUAGUGUAAAAUUAUUUGUUAAAUAUUUAGGUAACUUUCUUGGUUCAUUCUUUAUUUGCAAACAUGGCGGGAACGCUCAAUAAUUCUUGACUCUUAAUUUUUUUCUUCUUCUAAACCUGCUUAUUCUUGGGCUGGAUUUUCUUAUUGCCAUUUCUUGGCUCUUUUAUGAGUUUUGAAUUUUUGUAAGAUUUGUAUUGUGAAACAAAUUUGCUUAGUGAUUGUACAUGGUUUGGAUAUGAAAUGUGGUCCUUUUGUAUACUCU